GUGCCAGCCGCCGCGGUAAUACGGAGGAUCCGAGCGUUAUCCGGAUUCAUUGGGUUUAAAGGGUGCGUAGGCGGCACACUAAGUCAGCGGUGAAAGGCAGGCGCUCAACGUCUGGACUGCCGUUGAAACUGGUGAGCUAGAGUGCGGACAAGGAUGGCGGAAUGUGUCAUGUAGCGGUGAAAUGCAUAGAUAUGACACAGAACACCGAUUGCGAAGGCAGCUGUCCGGGCCGCUACUGACGCUGAGGCACGAAAGCGUGGGGAUCGAACAGGAUUAGAUACCCUGGUAGUCCACGCAGUAAACGAUGAUCACUUGCUGUGGGCGAUAGAAUGUCCGCGGCGGAGCGAAAGUUUUAAGUGAUCCACCUGGGGAGUACGUUCGCAAGAAUGAAACUCAAAGGAAUUGACGGGGGCCCGCACAAGCGGAGGAACAUGUGGUUUAAUUCGAUGAUACGCGAGGGACCUUACCCGGGCUCAAACGACGGAGGACAGGGGCAGAGAUGCCUUUUCCAGCAAUGGUCUCCGUCGAGGUGCUGCAUGGUUGUCGUCAGCUCGUGCCGUGAGGUGUCGGCUUAAGUGCCAUAACGAGCGCAACCCUUGCCGUCAGUUGCCAGCGGAUAAAGCCGGGAACUCUGACGGGACUGCCACCGCAAGGUGUGAGGAAGGCGGGGAUGACGUCAAAUCAGCACGGCCCUUACGUCCGGGGCCACACACGUGUUACAAUGGGGGGUACAGAGAGAAGCCAUCCUGCGAAGGAGCGCGGAUCCCGAAAGCCCUCCUCAGUUCGGACUGGAGUCUGCAACCCGACUCCACGAAGCUGGAUUCGCUAGUAAUCGCGCAUCAGCCACGGCGCGGUGAAUACGUUCCCGGGCCUUGUACACACCGCCCGU
Molecule: ribosomal RNA, 889 nt
Filed under: uncultured bacterium
Lineage: Bacteria
Description: bacterial SSU rRNA
Rfam family: Bacterial small subunit ribosomal RNA
Source: RNAcentral